UGUCUUCGUAGGUGAACCUGCGUAGGGAUCAUUUUUGUGGGGUUUUUGACUGUCGCAAAAAGUGUAAAAACUUUUAACCCUUUGUGUUUAGCGACAACACAAUCGCAUAAUUUUAUAUUAUGUGUUCGCUUCGGCGUGGUUAACUUUUUUCUUUAUUGAAAAAGGUGCCAAACUUUUUUUCAAGUCUUCAUAAUGGACGACUUGGCUCUUGUAUCGAUGAAGAACGCAGUGAAAGGCGAAACGUAAUGUGAAUCGCAACUAACAGUGAAUCAUCGAAUCUUUGAACGCAGGCCGCGCUUUGCAUAUCACUUGUGUUAUCGCAAAGCAUCUACGUAUGAGUGUCAGCCUAAUAUACUUUCGGUUUAAUGGUAAUUUAUUUACUAUUAAAUACAUUAUGCGAGUAUUUUUUAAAUACACGCGUUUAACAGAAUUUAUGUCUGGCCUCAUAUGUGGAAGAUUACCCGCUGGAUUUAAGCAUAUCAGUAAGCGG
RNAcentral lists this ribosomal RNA (490 nucleotides) under Allovahlkampfia sp. SG-2014d. RNAcentral's name for it is "eukaryotic LSU rRNA". The stretch from base 182 to 344 matches the Rfam family "5.8S ribosomal RNA". The record is from RNAcentral. Lineage: Eukaryota; Heterolobosea; Eutetramitea; Acrasida; Acrasidae.